Molecule: ribosomal RNA, 472 nt
Filed under: uncultured bacterium
Lineage: Bacteria
Description: bacterial SSU rRNA
Rfam family: Bacterial small subunit ribosomal RNA
Source: RNAcentral
UGAACGCUGGCGGCGUGCCUAAUACAUGCAAGUCGUACGAGUGUAGCAAUACACUAGUGGCGAACGGGUGAGUAACACGUAGGUAACCUGCCUUGAAGCUUGGGAUACCCGAGGGAAACUUCGGCUAAUACCGGAUACGAUCAUUGGAGGCAUCUCUGAUGAUUGAAAGACGCAGCAAUGCGUCACUUCGAGAUGGGCCUGCGGCGCAUUAGCUAGUUGGUGAGGUAACGGCUCACCAAGGCUUCGAUGCGUAGCCGACCUGAGAGGGUGAUCGGCCACAAUGGAACUGAGACACGGUCCAUACUCCUACGGGAGGCAGCAGUAGGGAGUUUUCGGCAAUGGGGGCAACCCUGACCGAGCAACGCCGCGUGAGUGAUGAAGGUCUUCGGAUUGUAAAACUCUGUUGUGGAGGACGAAUGGUAGGGAUAGGUAAUGAUCUCUAUUUGGCAGUACUUCAUUAGAAAGCCAUGGC